GACGAACGCUGGCGGCGUGCCUAAUACAUGCAAGUUGAGCGCUGAAGGUUGGUACUUGUACCGACUGGAUGAGCAGCGAACGGGUGAGUAACGCGUGGGGAAUCUGCCUUUGAGCGGGGGACAACAUUUGGAAACGAAUGCUAAUACCGCAUAAAAACUUUAAACACAAGUUUUAAGUUUGAAAGAUGCAAUUGCAUCACUCAAAGAUGAUCCCGCGUUGUAUUAGCUAGUUGGUGAGGUAAAGGCUCACCAAGGCGAUGAUACAUAGCCGACCUGAGAGGGUGAUCGGCCACAUUGCGACUGAGACACGGCCCAAACUCCUACGGGAGGCAGCAGUAGGGAAUCUUCGGCAAUGGACGAAAGUCUGACCGAGCAACGCCGCGUGAGUGAAGAAGGUUUUCGGAUCGUAAAACUCUGUUGGUAGAGAAGAACGUUGGUGAGAGUGCAAAGCUCAUCAAGUGACGGUAACUACCCAGAAAGGGACGGCUAACUACGUGCCAGCCGCCGCAGUAA
Molecule: ribosomal RNA, 513 nt
Filed under: uncultured bacterium
Lineage: Bacteria
Description: partial 16S ribosomal RNA
Rfam family: Bacterial small subunit ribosomal RNA
Source: RNAcentral